This 433-nucleotide ribosomal RNA is filed under the name uncultured bacterium. Its description in RNAcentral is "partial 16S ribosomal RNA". It matches the Rfam family "Bacterial small subunit ribosomal RNA", at positions 29 to 507 of the family's 1533-position model. The record is from RNAcentral.
AACGAACGCUGGCGGCAUGCCUAACACAUGCAAGUCGAACGAGACCUUCGGGUCUAGUUGCGCACGGGUGCGUAACGCGUGGGAACCUGCCCUUAGGUUCGGAAUAACUCCCCGAAAGGGGUGCUAAUACCGGAUAAUGUCUUCGGACCAAAGAUUUAUCGCCUUUGGAUGGGCCCGCGUUGGAUUAGCUAGUUGGUAGGGUAAAAGCCUACCAAGGCGACGCUCCAUAGCUGGUCUGAGAGGAUGAUCAGCCACACUGGGACUGAGACACGGCCCAGACUCCUACGGGAGGCAGCAGUGGGGAAUAUUGGACAAUGGGCGAAAGCCUGAUCCAGCAAUGCCGCGUGAGUGAUGAAGGCCUUAGGGUUGUAAAGCUCUUUUACCCGGGAUGAUAAUGACAGUACCGGGAGAAUAAGCUCCGGCUAACUCCGUG